UACGGAGGAUGCGAGCGUUAUCCGGAUUUAUUGGGUUUAAAGGGUGCGUAGGCGGACUGUCAAGUCAGCGGUAAAAUUGAGAGGCUCAACCUCUUCCCGCCGUUGAAACUGGUGGUCUUGAGUGGAUGAGAAGUACGCGGAAUGCGUGGUGUAGCGGUGAAAUGCACAGAUAUCACGCAGAACCCCGAUUGCGAAGGCAGCGUACCGGCAUCCAACUGACGCUGAGGCACGAAAGCGUGGGGAUCAAACAGG
Molecule: ribosomal RNA, 252 nt
Filed under: uncultured bacterium
Lineage: Bacteria
Description: partial 16S ribosomal RNA
Rfam family: Bacterial small subunit ribosomal RNA
Source: RNAcentral